This 467-nucleotide ribosomal RNA is filed under the name uncultured bacterium. RNAcentral's name for it is "partial 16S ribosomal RNA". It matches the Rfam family "Bacterial small subunit ribosomal RNA", at positions 29 to 507 of the family's 1533-position model. The record is from RNAcentral.
ACGAACGCUGGCGGCGUGCUUAACCCCUGCAAGUCGCACGGAAAGGCCCUGCUUUUGUGGGGUGCUCGAGUGGCGAACGGGUGAGUAACACGUGAGUAACCUGCCCUUGACUUUGGGGUAACUUCAGGAAACUGGGGCUAAUACCGGAUAGGAGCUCCUGCUGCAUGGUGGGGGUUGGAAAGUUUCGGCGGUUGGGGAUGGACUCGCGGCUUAUCAGCUUGUUGGUGGGGUAGUGGCUUACCAAGGCUUUGACGGGUAGCCGGCCUGAGAGGGUGACCGGCCACAUUGGGACUGAGAUACGGCCCAGACUCCUACGGGAGGCAGCAGUGGGGAAUAUUGCACAAUGGGCGGAAGCCUGAUGCAGCAACGCCGCGUGCGGGAUGACGGCCUUCGGGUUGUAAACCGCUUUCGCCUGUGACGAAGCGUGAGUGACGGUAAUGGGUAAAGAAGCACCGGCUAACUACGUG